Molecule: long non-coding RNA, 1500 nt
Organism: Monomorium pharaonis (pharaoh ant)
Lineage: Eukaryota; Metazoa; Arthropoda; Insecta; Hymenoptera; Formicidae
Exons: 2
Source: RefSeq, a predicted model, not a curated record
UAUUUUCAUGUCAUAUAGCACCUACAUAUCACAAGAAUAACAAUGUUAAAUUACUUGUAACUUCCAUGUUAUAUUGUCGCUAUAAAAUGUGUUCACUGGGCUGUGUAAUUAAUAACAUUUACAAUCAGAACUCUUUGGAAAAUGAUUAAAUGCAACCGUUCAGAUGUGCUGCUAGCCGUAGAGGGCCAUAAAGAAAAUGUGGCUGCGCAUGAGAAACUGUAUAGCGGUUAUCUAAAAUAAAAAAAAAAUUUCUCUUAAUCAUUUUAAAUACUUUAGUAUAUGCAGAAUAAAAACCUUAAAAGAGAUUUUUUAUUUUAUUUAUUUUUCAUGAUAAAAAAAUUGUUAAAUAUCAGACUUUUCUUUGAUUUCUACAAUAGUUUUACUUCUUAAUAUAUAUAACUUUUUAUUGAUUUAAUUGAACAUUAAAUGUUUUCAUAUUUUUGUACACAUGUGUAUUUUAUUUAUAAAAAUAAAUACAAGUUGGUUUCCUUUGCUGGAACAUUUUCUAUGUACAAUUCCAUUCACACACAUAUUUUCUCCACACAUAACCCAUGAACGCAAAUCUAUAUAUCGACAUAUUGAAAAAUGUAUCUCGAUUUUUUAUUUUCCAACAAAUUAAUACUUUAAAAAGUAUGAAUAAAAUUUCAAUGAUGUCAAACCUAUAUCAUAUCCCAAAGACUUUUUCAUGCUUUUAGAUUUUCUGUAUAAUUUCUGUAUAGAUUUUGCAGAAAAAAAGAUGUUCAAAAUUACCAUAAACAUCUUUUUUGUCCACUUUAAUUCAUUAAAAAUCUAGUAUGCUACACAAAUUUAAGAAUGGCAUUGUGUUUAGUGUAAAAUAAAUCUUUGGGACACACACAUACACACGAUAGCACUUCAAAGAGACAAAAUAAUUUUUUUAUUAAACUGUAUUAUAUAUCAAUAAACAAUACCUCAAAAUACUUUUCAACAUAAAAAAUAGAGUAUACAAUUUUCAUACUUAAUAAUAAGAGUGAUUUCUAGGAAUGUAAUCGAAUUUAAGUAGUUAACAAAAUAAAGAUAGAAGCUAUUAAGUGCCUAGCGCAAGUAUUAGUACGUAAAUUAAAAUAUCAAAUAUUUUUUAAUGACCCGGAUCUAUUAUAUCGUACAUAUAAUGUAUAUACAUUAUAUAUUCAUGUUAUCUAUGAUUAUAUAUUUCAGUUCUAUGUUGAACUACUUUUUAGACCGUAAAAUAUUAAAAAUGAUAAAAAAUAUCAGAAAUAAUCCUUGGCAAGUCAUCCCAUAGUGUUUAUCAGAACUACAUACUUCAGAUAAUAAAUUAGACUGUUUUGUCAUAAAAUAAAAUUCUAAUCAAUAAAACUGUCAGUGUAUAAAAAUUGAGUAAUUCAAAAUAAAGUAUUUAGUAAAUCAGUAAAAUACAAAAAUAAUCUGAUGUGUACCUGGAUCAUAAUAAACGUCAGACUGUUGAAAACUGAGAUAUUAUCAUUAAGAAAGAUUAACAAAUACUCACUCAAAUGUAAUAGA